RNAcentral lists this long non-coding RNA (621 nucleotides) under Mytilus galloprovincialis (Mediterranean mussel). The record is from RNAcentral. Lineage: Eukaryota; Metazoa; Mollusca; Bivalvia; Mytilida; Mytilidae.
AUUUUAAUAAACAGCUUUUAACAUAGGAUUUUUUAUUUCAGAAGGUGUGUCCCUAACACAAUGUCCACUACGAAACGAAGUCAUUUAAACUUGCUAAUAAACAGUUUUAUAAAAUCAAUGUAAUUUUUUGUUUGCAAGAGAUAUAAACAUUAGGGUCUUACAAAAGAAGUGAUGCUUUUAUAACGGCAAUUAAAUUGUUGGUAAGAAAAAUUGAGCACAUCAAAUGGACCAGAGUGAUACCGUAUUUUUGUAAAUGUCCACUACGAAACGGGUCAAAUCUCCUUCAGUAACUGGUUUUGAAAUUAUGAAAAAAAUAUCAGUGUACAGCUUAAUAAUGCUUUGAUGAAUACAGUCAGUCUUGUUACUAUUGCAAUAUAGGGGUUGUGAGAAAAAAAUAAAACAUGUGAAUAUGUCCCCUACGAAACGGUCACCUACGAAACAAGUUUGGGAGAAAAACGUUUCGUAGUGGACACUACCACUACCAUGCAGUCUUUUUUUACUCUUUUUUCAAUUAUAUUCGUGCAAAGCAAAUAACAAAGGUUAGUUUCAUGUAAUUUUUAUUAUGUUUUUAUUAACAUAGAAUAGGGUUGAUGUCAACUACGAAACUUUUUGUCCACUACG